This 4669-nucleotide long non-coding RNA is filed under the name Trifolium pratense (red clover). Its description in RNAcentral is "long non-coding RNA (TPRA_LNC011532)". Lineage: Eukaryota; Viridiplantae; Streptophyta; Magnoliopsida; Fabales; Fabaceae. The record is from RNAcentral.
CUUGAAGAUAUAUUUAGCACACCUUCAACAAGGUUAUUCUUUAACUAUGGGUAGAGGCCGAGGAAAAGGGAAGAAGCAAUCCGCUAGUGUGGAUGAUCUUGUAAGUGAUGAAGAGGAUAAAGUACCAGCUCACAGAAAACGAGGAAGACCGUUAAAGCCGGUCACAGAUGAAAACGAAGAAGUUGAAGUAACUGAAAAGAUAGAGAAAGAUGAGGAGAAUGUAAAUGGUAAUGUUUCAAACAACGACUUGAAAACGCAGGUUAUCACUGUGAAUAAAAGGAAAAGGAAGAGGACUUCACAGGUUAAAGAAAAGAUAGAACCAAUGAAAGAGGAGAAUGGCGUCCGAGCAAAGUCUAGCCCUGGUGAUUCUGUGAAGUCUACUGGAUUCCGACAAAAUGGAAGCAGGCGUAAAAGCAAGCCUCGCCGUGCUGCUGAAGCUGGUGUAGAUUGCAGGUGAGAAAGGUUUUGUGGUGAUAGUUCAAUGCCCUUGGAAUUUAUGGAACUUUGCUAUCAGAAGUCAGGGUUUAUUGAUUAUAUAAGGCUUUUAUGGUUGCUUUUGCUUAUUAUUAUUAUUGUAACUUUCAUAUGCUUUUGCCAAAAAUUGCUUACUUUAGUUUUGAGGCUUCAUUGUAGACUAUGUUACUAUAGAGAUACUAUUGCUAAACAAAUUAUUGAAAUUUUGUUGAUAUUCUUUUAUCACGAGUUUAUAAGUUGAUUUCCUCUUGUUUUCACAAAUUGAUUUCCUCAGGUGUAUGUAUGUGAUGCCUUUAUUGAGAUUCAUACUAAUUGUAUGCUGCUAAAAUUAAGCCUUCCCUUGAGGGAUUAAUUUUGUUAGUAGAAAAAAGUUAAAUUAGUUCUUUGCUUUUUCAAAUACAAUCUGAAUGAUAAAAACCAUGCAUGAGGUGCUUGAAUGUCCAUUCAGUUGUUCAAAUUAGUCUGCACAUUAUCUGGCCUAAAUUCGAGCUAACAAUGGCAUGCUACUUUUGGAUUCAAAUUCAAUCAUUGUUGCAACUUGCAUAAAAGGAGACAGACAUAUUUUAGUCUCUUCAACUUGCAAAGGAUCAACAAAUGCAACAUGUUAUGUUGUUUCAUAUACUAAGGUUAUUGUUGAUUACAUCAAUGGUCUCAUUGUCCUGCCGAAUUAGACAGAACUUGUAGUUUAACAGGAUUGUAAGCUUCUCUUUAUGAGUUUGUAAUAACUUCUAAAAUCCAUGUUAGGGGACAUUUAAAUGUUAAUGCUCAUAGUGUGGUUGUCACUUAUUGUUGUUGAUUCAAGAACAUUUUAUAACCUUAGGUAUUGACCGUGUUGGAAAGAAAUGACAUUAUUAGAGAACACCAAUUUUCAAACUUUUCUUUUUUUGACACUCAAUUUUCAAACUUGAGCAUAAACAUAAAACAAAAACAGAAUGGAUGAAAGAAUUAUGGUGGGAAUAGGAGUGAAGAUCCUCAGACCUAGUAGGUUCAACAUGGAAAGCUUGGAUUGGUUCAUCUAUGGGAUCAAUCUGAGAGGGUUCGGAGAAUAUUUUAGAUUGAGUUUCAACAGUGACAUUUUGGGUUUGCAUGUUCUCAGAGCUAAAUUCAGAGAGUUUCAGGUUGAUUUUUUGGGUUUUGAGAUGAAAUGGGGUUAUCAGAGACAUGGUUAGGAGAUUUUGGGGGUGACAAAGGAGAUGGUGGUGAUGGUGAUCGUUAUUUGAGAUUUUUGCUCAACAAUAUUAUUUGAGAUUUUUUAUGAUUUUCAAUUUUUUUUUGAUAAAAUUGAAACGAUCCUCAGCUAAAACUUUAGUACAAAUAUCAAUUAGCUGAUUUUCAGUAUCAACAAAAUGACCGUUAUCUUCAAAGCAAACUUAUGUAGACAUUGCAAAAAAAAACUAUCCAAAUGCAAGAACGUUCUCACAACGCUUUCCAGAAAUUACUGAAAUUUGGCUUAGAUCAAAGAAGUUGUUGCUUGUUCAUCAAGGUAACUGUGAAGGGUAGAAAAUAACAGCCGUAACUUGUUAUCCAAAAUUGUUCACUUCAUACUUGCAAAGUACAACUUGCUUUUCUCUUGUAAGAAGGACAUUGGAGAAUGUUCAUAAAAUGUUCUUUUGGAAUCACAAGUCAACCAAUAGUUCAGAUAUGUUGUAAGCUUCCAACCAUAGUUCUCCUUAUCUUGUUUAUUGUUUACUUUGUUAUUUAGUUGCUACUUUGUUACUUCACUUACACAUCAAAGUAUUAUUAGUGUGAUUUUCCAUUCAAAUUCACAACAAUUAAAACCCACCACGAGGCUAUCAAAAUAAUAUUAAAGUAAGCACCAUGAGUACCAAGUGGAACAUCAAGGGACUUUCUUGGGACAAUUUUGAAUUGUGGAAAGUGAAAAUGGAAAUAAUUUUAAUUUAACCCAGAUGUGUAAAAACUUUGGUAGGUGAGUUGUUGAUGCAGAUAAACUUAGCACAAUAAAAUAAAAUCGGGAUGAUUGAUAAAGCAUGAAGUAUUGUUAUCCGGUACUUUUAAGAUAAAAAGUUAUGGGGAUCGCAAAGGAGAAUGUCAUUAUGAAGAGACUGUGGUAAUAAUAAUUAGGCUUAAUUAGUCUUUUGGUCCCUUAAAGAUAUUUUAGGUUUCACAAUGGUCCCUUAAAGAAAAAAAGAUCAGGAUUGGUCCCUUAAAGACACAUUUGUUUCUCAAUUGGUCAUUUCCGUCAAUUUUUUACAAAAAACGUUAGUUUUAGCAGACUGAAUUGUGGAUGUCAUUAAGUGUAAGUGGUCCACCAAAAACCUUAUUAAUUUUUAAAAUUUUAACCAUUGAAAUUUUUUGUUAUAUUUGGAGUUAAAAUNNNNNNNNNNNNNNNNNNNNNNNNNNNNNNNNNNNNNNNNNNNNNNNNNNNNNNCAUCAUUUUCUCUCUAUCAUCGGAUCAAAAUCUUCACCAAACAAUAAAAAACCAAUUUUUAUCUCAUUUUCUAAAAUGGGUUGUGUCUGAGAUGCAAGAAAUUUGAUUCAACAUAAAAAGGGUCAGUUUUAUUUCACCACUUUCAGUUAUUAUCUCUUCAAUUUUAUUGCUUUUUGUUUUCUGUGUGUUUAUUUCAUGUUUCUUAUAAUGAAAAGAGUAACUGAUACAAUUUUUAUUUUUUUUAUAGUUUCUUUUUUUCGUUGCUGUUAAGGUUCUUUGAAUUUGAUGAAAUUUUCUGACAUUGGCACAGUACUAGAUCGAACAUGCGCUUUGAAAAAAACAUAAAAAACAUAUCUUUUUGUAUGCUGCUUCUAUGGUUUCUUUGCUAUGAAAUUGAGUAUUUUUGCAUUUUUGGGUUUCUUUAAUCUAUCUCUUAAGAAAUAGUGAAAAGGGUUUCAUUUGUUUUGUUUAGGAUUAGAUGAUCCAUGAUAAAAUGGAGACAACUUGUAUCUUUGGUUGUUCAAGAUUUCAGCAGUAGUAAGAUGCAAGUACUGUGUUCGUGCCUGUUGUUUCUGAUCAUUGAAUACUGAAUGUUUUUCCUGAAUGAUGUUUGGUUUAGGUCUUUUUAUGUUUAACAAUAUAUUGAAGUCCCUGUUUUUGAUCCUAACAUAGUAACAAACUGAAGAGAAAUUGUAAUUGCAUACUUGAUCUCUGUUAAUAUUGAUUCAAGUUAUAGAUAUUGCAUCCGAGAGGGAAGUGUGGAAAAGUGGUUGGAAAGUAGCAUAUCACGAAAUCGAUGUGCAGUUUUUAACAACCGUCUUUUAAACCUCGUGGUUUAAGAUUAACAUUUUUUCAUUGUGGUUAGUUUUUCAGUCUUUGAUCUCUAUGUUUUGGAAUUUAAAGUAUAAUUGUAUUUCUAUUUAUGCAGAUUUCUUUAAGAUAUAUUUAGUACACUUUCAACGAGGUUCUUCUUUAACUAUGGGUAGAGGCCGGGGAAAAGGGAAGAAGCAAUCUGCUAGUGUCGAUGAUCUUCUAAGUGAUGAAGAGGAUAAAUUACCAGCUCACAGAAAAAGAGGUAGACCGUUAAAGCCGGUCACAGAUGAAAACGAAGAAGUUGAAGUAACUGAAAAGAUAGAGAAAGACGAGGAGAAUGUAAGUGCUAAUGUUUCAAACAACGACUUGAAAACGCAGGUUAUCACUGUGAAUAAAAGGAAAAGGAAGAGGACUUCACAUGUUAAAGAAAAGAUAGAACCAAUGAAAGAGGAGAAUGGCAUCCGAGCAAAGUCUAGCUCUGGUGAUUCAGUGAAGUCUACUGGAUUCCGACAAAAUGGAAGCAGGCGUAAAAGCAAACCUCACCCCUCGCCGUGCUGCUGAAGCUGGUGUAGAUUGCAGGUGAGAAAGGUUUUGUGGUGAUUGUUCAUUGCCCUUGGAAUUGCUGGAACUUUGCUAUCACAAGUCAGGGUUUAUUUGAUUAUAUAAGGCUUUUAUGGUUGCUUUUGCUUCUUACUAUUAUUGUAACUUUCAUAUGCUUUUUCCUAAAAAUUACUUACUUUAGUUUUGAGGCUUCAUAGUAGAUUAAGUUACUAUAGAGAUACUAUUGCUAAAAAACUAUUGAAAUUUUUUGUAGAUAUUCUUUUAUCAUGAGUUUAUAAGUUGAUUUCCUCUUGCUUUCACAACUUGCCUAAAUUGCCACUGUUGUCGAUGAAAACCUUCAAGGUCUUCCCCAAACUUGUAUUCAAGAUUUCCAUCAUAGAGCCUCAAUCAUCCAUAUAGCUAUCACUCUAGAACUUGCAAUUGCGGCUUAGU